ACAGCAGCCGCCGCGGUAAUACGUAGGUGGCAAGCGUUGUCCGGAAUUAUUGGGCGUAAAGGGCUCGCAGGCGGUUUCUUAAGUCUGAUGUGAAAGCCCCCGGCUCAACCGGGGAGGGUCAUUGGAAACUGGGAAACUUGAGUGCAGAGGAGGAGAGUGGAAUUCCACGUGUAGCGGUAAAAUGCGUAGAGAUGUGGAGGAACACCAGUGACGAAGGCGACUCUCUGGUCUGUAACUGACGCUGAGGAGCGAAAGCGUGGGGAGCGAACAGGAUUAGAUACCCCCGUAGUCCCUGUCUCUUAUAC
RNAcentral lists this ribosomal RNA (305 nucleotides) under uncultured bacterium. RNAcentral's name for it is "partial 16S ribosomal RNA". It matches the Rfam family "Bacterial small subunit ribosomal RNA", at positions 508 to 807 of the family's 1533-position model. The record is from RNAcentral.